GGGUCUCAGCCUCAACCUCCCAGGCUCAAGCAAUCCUCCCACCUCAGCCUCCUGAGCAGCUGGGACUAUAGACAUUCACCACCACACCCAGCUAAUUUUUAAUUUUUUUUGUAGAAACAGGGUCCCACUAUGUUGUACAGGCUGGUCUCAAACUCCUGGGCUCAUGUGAUCCUCCUGUUUCAGCCUCCCAAAGUGAUAGGAUUGGAGACAUGAGCCACUGAGCCUGGCCAGUUUUUGCUGUUUAUAAUGGUCCCCAAGCAUAGCACUGAAGCACUGUCUAGUGUUCAGGGUUAAUGAAUUAACAAGAUUGAAAAAUUUCAGCAGCCUAGAAUUUUCCUGACAAAAAUGGAAAGCAGGCAGCGAAAAACUGGAAGGUUGGUUAGUGUCUAUUAAAAUAGCUUUUGAUAAGAAGGCUCAGAAGACCAGUGUUUCCAUGAACACUGACAAUUUGAUGAAGAUUUUUACAAUGGGCAUAGACCUUACCAAACCAUUUGAAUACCUUUUUGCUACGGGGAAUCUGCGUUCUAAAACAGGUCUUGGCCUCCUACAAGAUUCUGGACUUUGUGUUGUGGCUGACAAGCUGAACUUCAUACGCUACCUCUCCCAUUUCCGCUGCGUGCACAGAGGGGCUGAUUU
RNAcentral lists this small RNA (636 nucleotides) under Pan troglodytes (chimpanzee). RNAcentral's name for it is "processed transcript". The record is from RNAcentral. Lineage: Eukaryota; Metazoa; Chordata; Mammalia; Primates; Hominidae.